AUAAAACUCGCUUUCAAGUACUCUAUGCUAAUGGGGGAAAAAAUUCAAACUUUCCAAAACCCAACCAGGCAACAGCCUCAAAGCCAAGUAUACAAAAAAAUGAAAAAAAAAAGUACCAGAGAGAGCAGCCAGCCAAAAGAGGGCUUCAAAGGGUUUAAUAUCCUCUUUUGAAUCCUUUAUGUGCUUUUAUAUUUAUUUUAUUUUUUUUGUUAAAAGGGGUAGUUGGUGGGAUGUUCUUCACUUCUUCUCUUCUAGCUUCUCUGUUUUCCUGGGUGAAGGAGGGACGCUGCUUUCAGUUUGUAGGGGCAUAGGCGCGAUCAGAAUUGAACCAGGACCGUUCUGUUUAAUUUUCUUACAAAAAUUUCACUUAUAGUUUAAAAUUAUUAGUAAAAUUAAAAACAUGAGUGAAAAGGAAAAUAUUUUGAGUUUAAAACCUAUAUAUAUAUAUAUUCAAUUAAGUAUUUUUGAGUUUAUUAAAUUUUUUCUCUUGUAGUUUAUUUUUAAAAACACGAGUGAAAUAGGAAAAUAUUUUGAGUUUAUUUUUAGAAUAUAAAUAUUUUCAAUUAAGAAUUCUUUUUUUUUUUAAACUCGGGUGAAGGGGGAAAAUAAAUUGCAAGGUUUUAUAAAGCAUUGUAUCUCUUUCAACAAGUUAUUAUAUUCUUUCUUCAAAAAAAAAAAAAAAAAAAAAAAACAAGUUAUUAUAUUCCAGCCCCAAUCUCCUUUUCAGAUCAAAUCUCUCUCUACGCCCAUGCGGUGCUUCAUCGGCUUUCAAUGGUGUUCAUCGCCUUUCUUCGGCAAGGCCUCUCUCUCUCGCUCUUAGGUAAUGAUUAUGCUUGAGUUAUUUCACAUUCUCUGAUUUGGGUAUGUAAUCGUACUGUAAAGCGGUUCAUUUUGAUUUGUAUGUAUAAUCGUUCACAUAUGGUGGUAUAAUCUGAUUUUGGUCUGCUGAGUUGUCUCCUUUGAUUUGUAUGUAUAAUCUUGUAUUAUGGGUAUAUAGUGACUCAAUUUGAGUUCAGAGUAAGUGAAAGGGAAAACAUUGGAUAUUUUAGCUGUAUGUAUAUAUCAUUUUCUUUUUUUUUUUCU
This is a long non-coding RNA of Ziziphus jujuba (common jujube), 1083 nucleotides long. RefSeq lists it as uncharacterized. Lineage: Eukaryota; Viridiplantae; Streptophyta; Magnoliopsida; Rosales; Rhamnaceae. The transcript is spliced from 2 exons. The record is from RefSeq and is a predicted model, not a curated record.